RNAcentral lists this ribosomal RNA (465 nucleotides) under uncultured bacterium. RNAcentral describes it as "partial 16S ribosomal RNA". It matches the Rfam family "Bacterial small subunit ribosomal RNA", at positions 339 to 795 of the family's 1533-position model. The record is from RNAcentral.
CUACGGGGGGCUCCAGUGGGGAAUAUUGGACAAUGGGGGAAACCCUGAUCCAGCAAUGCCGCGUGUGUGAAGAAGGCCUGCGGGUUGUAAAGCACUUUCGGUUGGGAGGACUGCUUCUAGCACUAAUAUUGUUGGAAGUUGACGUUACCUUCAGAAGAAGCACCGGCUAACUCCGUGCCAGCAGCCGCGGUAAUACGGAGGGUGCAAGCGUGAAUCGGAAUUACUGGGCGUAAAGCGCGCGUAGGCGGCUAGAUCAGUCGGGUGUGAAAGCCCCGGGCUUAACCUGGGAACGGCAUCCGAUACUGUCUAGCUUGAGUACAGGAGAGGAGAGUGGAAUUCCACAUGUAGCGGUGAAAUGCGUAGAUAUGUGGAGGAACACCAAUGGCGAAGGCAGCUCUCUGGCCUGAUACUGACGCUGAGGUGCGAAAGCGUGGGGAGCAAACAGGAUUAGAUACCCUAGUAGUC